Molecule: long non-coding RNA, 547 nt
Filed under: Rattus norvegicus (Norway rat)
Lineage: Eukaryota; Metazoa; Chordata; Mammalia; Rodentia; Muridae
Description: long non-coding RNA NONRATT019249
Source: RNAcentral
UGAACUCAUCUCAGAAACUGGUGGAAGCCAUGACAAGCGCUUUGUAAUGGAGGUAGAAGUAGAUGGACAGAAAUUCAGAGGUGCAGGUCCAAACAAGAAAGUGGCCAAGGCAAGUGCAGCGCUAGCUGCCCUGGAAAAGCUGUUUUCUGGACCCAAUGCAGCAAAUAAUAAGAAAAAGAAGAUCAUUCCUCAGGCAAAGGGUGUUGUGAAUACGGCAGUAUCUGCAGCAGUCCAGGCAGUUCGAGGCAGAGGAAGAGGAACUCUGACAAGGGGAGCGUUCGUGGGAGCUACAGCAGCUCCUGGAUAUAUAGCUCCAGGUUAUGGAACUCCAUAUGGUUACAGCACAGCUGCCCCUGCAUAUGGUUAAUACUUUUAAGCAGUUUUCAGCACGUUUAUCUCACUUUAUUCUCGUUCUCCUCGGACCUCCGUAGCCAUAUCACUUGUAUAAAAUAGGCUGAGAUAUAGUGACUGUAAGCUGUGAUCUCAGUAUUCAAAGGUAAGCUCUUUUAUUUUCUGAUUAAAGAAAACAGUAACCAAUUAACACAAC